UAGUUAUGUUCUUUAAACCUAAAGAAUUUGGCGGUAAUUUAUUCUAUUCAGAGGAAUUUGUCCCGUUAUCGAUAGUCCUCGUUUUAUCUUACUUAUAUUUUGUUUAUAUCAGUAUGUAUACCGCCGUUAUAAGUUUAUUCUAAUAGGAUUUUUAAUUUACUUAAUUUUUAAUUUUACAAUAUUUCAGGUCAAGGUGCAGCUUAUAAAUAAGUGGAGGUGAAUUACAAUAUUUAUGAAUAAAAUGGAUUAUUAUUUUAAAAUAUUUAUGAAGGUGGAUUUGUUAGUAAUAUUUUUUAUAGAGAGAAUAUGAUUAUAGUUCUAAAUUAAGCACACAUCGCCCGG
This 342-nucleotide ribosomal RNA is filed under the name Lobofemora bidoupensis. Its description in RNAcentral is "partial small subunit ribosomal RNA". The record is from RNAcentral. Lineage: Eukaryota; Metazoa; Arthropoda; Insecta; Phasmatodea; Phasmatidae.